AGUGAACGCUGGCGGUAGGCCUAACACAUGCAAGUCGAACGGCAGCACAGUAAGAGCUUGCUGAUACGGGUGGCGAGCGGCGGACGGGUGCGGAAUACAUCGGAAUAUACAGUUUAGCGGGGGAUAACGCAGGGAAACUUACGCUAAUACCGCAUAUGUCCUACGGGUGAAAGCAGGGGAUCUUCGGACCUUGCGCGAUUGUAUGAGCCGACGUCGGAUUAGCUAGUUGGCGGGGUAAAGGGCCACCAAGGCUACGCUCCGUAGCGGGUCCGAAAGGAUGGAUAGGCAGACUGGAAGUGAGACACGGUCGAGACUCCGACGGUGGGCCGCAGUGGAGAAUCUUGGACGAUGGGGGAGUGGCUGAUCUUGCCAAACCGCGGGAGUGAUGAAGGACUUAUGGUUGGUGAACGCUGAUGUUGGGAGAAAAAUACAGUUGUUUAAGAGCGCACUGUACUGACGGUACCCGAAGAAUAAGCACCGGCUAACUUCGUG
Molecule: ribosomal RNA, 492 nt
Filed under: uncultured bacterium
Lineage: Bacteria
Description: partial 16S ribosomal RNA
Rfam family: Bacterial small subunit ribosomal RNA
Source: RNAcentral